CACGAGACCACCAAGAACCACAAAAGUAGUGGCAGCAGUUUGAGAAUCGAGGAAAGUGCAAGACUGAGCAGGCGUGGAGAAAGAAGGAGUACGGAGGAACUUGGAUCAUUCUCAAUGAAAAAGAUGGAGUACCAGGCUGAGGAGGAAAACCACGUAGAUGAUGGAGCAGAGGUGCUGGACGUCGCCCGCUGUGGAGUUCGUGCAGAAAGUGAGUUUCCACUUGUUCACAUUUUGAAUGAAACCUUGAUGGCUGGAGAUCUGAAGGAGGAUAUUGAGGCUUGUGCAGGAACAGUUGACUGCUUGAGAGAGAGGAAGGAACCGCCUCCAGCUCCAGCUCCAGCUCCAGCUUCAGCCCAACAUCCUUUAAUAAACACUCUGCAAAGAGAGACUUUAUCAGACGUUAGUGAUGGCAUUCAGCAUCCACCAACAAAAGAAAGCACAGAAAGUAAUGCAGGAGCAGAAAAACUCACGUGUGACGGGAAGACUGUUUUAAAUAUCCACUCCUUUGCAGAUGCUACCGAUGAUCAAACAGUAAAGAGAAAGGAAGACGAGUCAAACACAGAUUCAAUCUCUGAAUCAGAUUCAUUUUUAAACCCAGUCAUAUCUAUCGAACCCAGCUCUAUUCUGGAAAAGCUACUGAGAAGAAACAGAAAAGAGGAAAUACCAAACACCUCUGAACCAGGAGACACCAAUGAUCAAAUCAAAGUAAACACAGAAGCCUUUGAGGGGAUCAAAGACGUUACACCAUCAUCAAUAGACAGUGACACUGAAGACAUCCAAUCAUCCAAUGAGGAUACGGAUCAGGAACCCAAAGCCACUGCUCCCACUACCGCCUCACAUUCAUUUCACUAUCCUGCUGCUACAUCAUGUGAGGCUGAACUCACAGCACAAGUAAACAUUGGUGCUACAGACGCCUCAAUCCCCUCUACUGGGGGUUUGGAAUCAGCUGUUCUACAUGAGGAGAAGUCAUGUGAAGUGAGUGCUGUGGCCCGGGAGGAAUCCACAACUGAUGCAAAGCCCUUUCACGCAAAGAGUGACGAAAAACUCACAGACUCAGAUCAUAUCCAUACCUCUAAAAUAACUGACGGUGUUGCUGGACAGACAGGAGGAAAUAUACAAGUAUGUAGCCCUGAGAGACCCCCUGAUCAUGCUGGUUUAGCUUCGUCAGAGGAAGUCCACCAAAACCAAGAUCCACAUGUGACGAAAACUAUCAAACCAGAUCACACUGACAGUAGUAGCCCCUGCCACGAGACAAAAGGCAGUGUUGUGAUGAGGGAUCAAACCCAAGGAGCUCCCAAACCAAGGCCUGUGUCAGAACUCAUCAAGGAAACGAUUCAGCUGCAUGAAAAGCUGCAGCAUCCCGACAGGCCCAAGCCAGCAGAAGUGAAGUUAGACG
RNAcentral lists this long non-coding RNA (1396 nucleotides) under Gouania willdenowi (blunt-snouted clingfish). RNAcentral's name for it is "lncRNA (ENSGWIG00000013386.1)". The record is from RNAcentral. Lineage: Eukaryota; Metazoa; Chordata; Actinopteri; Blenniiformes; Gobiesocidae.